AUUAGCUGAUGAGUUUCAAGUAGGGCGAAACGCGCUUCCUGAAU
This 44-nucleotide non-coding RNA is filed under the name Schistosoma margrebowiei. The record is from RNAcentral. Lineage: Eukaryota; Metazoa; Platyhelminthes; Trematoda; Strigeidida; Schistosomatidae.